RNAcentral lists this ribosomal RNA (328 nucleotides) under uncultured eukaryote. RNAcentral's name for it is "partial 18S ribosomal RNA". It matches the Rfam family "Eukaryotic small subunit ribosomal RNA", at positions 1470 to 1796 of the family's 1831-position model. The record is from RNAcentral.
CCCUUAGAUGUCCUGGGCCGCACGCGCGUUACACUGAUGCAUUCAACGAGCUUAUAACCUUGGCCGAGAGGCCUGGGCAAUCUUGUUAACGUGCAUCGUGAUAGGGAUAGAUUAUUGAAAUUAUUAAUCUUGAACGAGGAAUUCCUAGUAAACGCAGAUCAUCAAUCUGCAUUGAUUACGUCCCUGCCCUUUGUACACACCGCCCGUCGCCCCUACCGAUUGGAUGGUCCGGUGAAGCCUCGGGAUUGUGGUUCUUGCCGCUUUAUUGUGGCGUGACCGCGAGAACUUGUCUAAACCUUAUCAUCUAGAGGAAGGUGAAGUCGUAACA